GCAGGUUUAGCUCAGUUGGUUAGAGCAUGGUGUUUCUAAUGCCAAGGUCGCGGGUUCAAUUCCCGUACAGACUACG
Non-coding RNA from Rhea pennata, 76 nucleotides. NCBI's taxonomy places the organism in Eukaryota, Metazoa, Chordata, Aves, Rheiformes, Rheidae. The record is from the annotation of a RefSeq genome assembly.